CAGCAGCCGCGGGAAUACGGAGGAUCCAAGCGUUAUCCGGAAUCAUUGGGUUUAAAGGGUCCGUAGGCGGUCUUGUAAGUCAGUGGUGAAAGCCCAUUGCUCAACGGUGGAACGGCCAUUGAUACUGCAGGACUUGAAUUAUUGGGAAGUAACUAGAAUAUGUAGUGUAGCGGUGAAAUGCUUAGAGAUUACAUGGAAUACCAAUUGCGAAGGCAGGUUACUACCAAUUGAUUGACGCUGAUGGACGAAAGCGUGGGUAGCGAACAGGAUUAGAUACCCGUGUAGUCCCUGUCUCUUAUAC
Molecule: ribosomal RNA, 301 nt
Filed under: uncultured bacterium
Lineage: Bacteria
Description: partial 16S ribosomal RNA
Rfam family: Bacterial small subunit ribosomal RNA
Source: RNAcentral